GUCUUUGAUGUUCACCAUUCAGUCUAUUGAAAGUCAAUAUUACAGUCAUACGGCGUCAAAUUUAUUAUUAUGUUUUAUCAUCAAUUUUUGAAUUUAACACAGAUAAUUUUAAUUUUCAUGGAUCAUCUGACGUUGUCUUUGAUGUUCACCAUUCAGUCUAUUGAAAGUCAAUAUUACAGUCAUACGGCGUCAAAUUUAUUAUUAUGUUUUAUCAUCAAUUUGUGAAUUUAACACAGAUAAUUUUAAUUUUCAUGGAUCAUCUGACGUUGUCUUUGAUGUUCACCAUUCAGUCUAUUGAAAGUCAAUAUUACAGUCAUACGGCGUCAAAUUUAUUAUUAUGUUUUAUCAUCAAUUUUUGAAUUUAACACAGAUAAUUUUAAUUUUCAUGGAUCAUCUGACGUUGUCUUUGAUGUUCACCAUUCAGUCUAUUGAAAGUCAAUAUUACAGUCAUACGGCGUCAAAUUUAUUAUUAUGUUUUAUCAUCAAUUUGUGAAUUUAACACAGAUAAUUUUAAUUUUCAUGGAUCAUCUGACGUUGUCUUUGAUGUUCACCAUUCAGUCUAUUGAAAGUCAAUAUUACAGUCAUACGGCGUCAAAUUUAUUAUUAUGUUUUAUCAUCAAUUUUUGAAUUUAACACAGAUAAUUUUAAUUUUCAUGGAUCAUCUGACGUUGUCUUUGAUGUUCACCAUUCAGUCUAUUGAAAGUCAAUAUU
Molecule: long non-coding RNA, 711 nt
Organism: Rhopalosiphum maidis (corn leaf aphid)
Lineage: Eukaryota; Metazoa; Arthropoda; Insecta; Hemiptera; Aphididae
Exons: 6
Source: RefSeq, a predicted model, not a curated record